This 168-nucleotide non-coding RNA is filed under the name Candidatus Omnitrophota bacterium. Its description in RNAcentral is "Omnitrophica bacterium c-di-GMP sequence". It matches the Rfam family "c-di-GMP-I riboswitch aptamer". Rfam says of the family: GEMM was predicted in a large-scale screen for bacterial structured RNA regulatory elements. Genes associated with GEMM are involved in a diverse array of functions, including chemotaxis regulation, signal transduction, secretion and chitin. The record is from RNAcentral. Lineage: Bacteria; Pseudomonadati; Candidatus Omnitrophota.
AGACGAUAAUAGCAAACCAUUCGAAAGGAUGGGCACGUCCCGAAUGUAGAAACUUCUUAGAAGUUUUACUUCGGGACCCCGAUGAAGUUCUGAGGAUGUAACUUCGUUCGGGGCAAAGCCACGGGCCUAAUUUCCCGAUUAAGGGAAUAUGGCAGCCGGGUUGCCGAA